GGCAUUGAGCAUGUUGGAGGAGAUAUGUUCUUAAGUGUCCCAAAAGCAGAUGCCAUAAUGAUGAAGGAAGUUCUUCACAAUUGGGAUGAUGAGCAUUGCUUAAAACUACUAAGAAAUUGCUACGAAGCAUUGGAAAAGAAAGGGAAAGUGAUAGUAAUAAGUUACAUGAUGUCUGAGGCAGGAGAGGUAAGCAAUGCAGCUAAGUUUAUUUCUCAAAUAGAUCUCCAAAUGGCUACGUAAUUUGGUGCAAAGCAAAGGACUGCAAAGCAUUUCAAGUCCAUGGCCAUGUAUGCUGGCUUUUCAAGCUUUCAACUCAAGUGCCUUGUUUUCAAUGUGGUUACUGUCAUGGAACUCUAUAAAUAAUUGUUUUAAUUGUUAAUUUGUUGUUGUUGUGUCUGGAGUUUAUUUAUAUCCAUAAUUGGUACUGAUAUGACGUGUCUGGUUAUGUUAAAUAAUUGAGAAUUUAGGGUUUGUUUUUAGUAAUGUUAUGAACUAAAUUCUCUAAUCUUGAUGACUGUUACCUUUUGUGUUUGUCUUCAAUUGUGUUGAUUUGAGAAA
Long non-coding RNA from Gossypium arboreum, 558 nucleotides. RefSeq lists it as uncharacterized. Lineage: Eukaryota; Viridiplantae; Streptophyta; Magnoliopsida; Malvales; Malvaceae. The record is from RefSeq and is a predicted model, not a curated record. The transcript is spliced from 2 exons.